Molecule: ribosomal RNA, 284 nt
Filed under: uncultured prokaryote
Description: partial 16S ribosomal RNA
Rfam family: Bacterial small subunit ribosomal RNA
Source: RNAcentral
UACGUAGGGGGCUAGCGUUAUCCGGAAUUACUAGGCGUAAAGGGCAGGCAGGCGGAUCCAUAAGUUUAUCGUUUAAGGCGUCGGCUUAACCGGCGUAGGGCGGUAGAUACUGUGGAUCUGGAAUGCGGUUGGGGAAGACAGAAUUCCUGGUGUAGCGGUGGAAUGCGCAGAGAUCAGGAGGAAUACCGAAGGCGAAGGCAGUCUUCCAAGCCGUUAUUGACGCUCAACUGCGAAGGUGUGGGUAUCAAACAGGAUUAGAUACCCGGGUAGUCCCUGAGCGGGCU